CAUGCACUAGUUGGCUACUCAAACCCACAAACGAUGAAAGUUGGAGACCUUCUCAAACAACAACUGAUCACUGUUCUUAUCGACAUGGGUAGUAGUAAUAACUUCCUAAACAGAAAGUUUACUAUUUAUAUGGUUUUACCUAUGAAGAAUUACAACAGGUUUGACAUUAAGGUAGCCGACGGAUGGAUUUUGAAGUAUGAUCGUAGGCGCCCAUGAGUAAAAUUGUUGCUGCAAGAUCAAG
RNAcentral lists this long non-coding RNA (241 nucleotides) under Musa acuminata (dwarf banana). RNAcentral's name for it is "long non-coding RNA (MACU_LNC001289)". Lineage: Eukaryota; Viridiplantae; Streptophyta; Magnoliopsida; Zingiberales; Musaceae. The record is from RNAcentral.